AGCGGCAAACCCUGGCGGUUCUCCGGGUUCGUGGCAACCACGGAUGGGAAAAUGUGGAGGUUGCACGGCUGAUGUUUACUGUUCGUGGCACAGGAAGAGGCAGUUUCAUUUCAGGAAUGAGUGUGCACAAUCAAAGAAUAGAGCGACUGUGGAGAGACCUCUGAGUGGCCG
Pelmatolapia mariae (spotted tilapia) is the source of this 171-nucleotide long non-coding RNA. RefSeq lists it as uncharacterized. The record is from RefSeq and is a predicted model, not a curated record. The transcript has 3 exons. NCBI's taxonomy places the organism in Eukaryota, Metazoa, Chordata, Actinopteri, Cichliformes, Cichlidae.